This 253-nucleotide ribosomal RNA is filed under the name uncultured bacterium. Its description in RNAcentral is "partial 16S ribosomal RNA". It matches the Rfam family "Bacterial small subunit ribosomal RNA", at positions 524 to 776 of the family's 1533-position model. The record is from RNAcentral.
UACGAAGGGGGCUAGCGUUGUUCGGAAUUACUGGGCGUAAAGCGCGCGCAGGCGGUCUUUCAAGUCAGUGGUGAAAGCCCGGAGCUCAACUCCGGAAAUGCCAUUGAAACUGUGAGACUUGAGGAUGAGAGAGGUGAGUGGAAUUCCCAGUGUAGAGGUGAAAUUCGUAGAUAUUGGGAAGAACACCGGUGGCGAAGGCGGCUCACUGGCUCAUUUCUGACGCUCAGGCGCGACAGCGUGGGGAUCAAACAGG